Lytechinus pictus (painted urchin) is the source of this 882-nucleotide long non-coding RNA. RefSeq lists it as uncharacterized. The record is from RefSeq and is a predicted model, not a curated record. The transcript has 3 exons. Lineage: Eukaryota; Metazoa; Echinodermata; Echinoidea; Temnopleuroida; Toxopneustidae.
CUCGCACGCGCGCGCGCACGUACGCAUGUAACCGCCAAUUGCAAUAUUUGAAAAAAGAACCCGAUCAACCACUGUCUUGCUGUUCAGAAGUCCGUCUAUAAUUCAUCAUAAACUAAAGGAACACAGGUCAGAUUCGGACAACGACUUCAAAUUCAUUCGCAGAAUACGCUAAACAAUUGGACGACGGAUACACUGGAUGAUAAUGUAGAUGGUCCAGGAUUAUCUGGGAAGGAAACUACAGGUGUUGAACACAGAAAACCGUUUACAAGAAAACAACUGGAGUUUGUGAAAGCUGCAAGAAAUUAAUCUUGCCGGGUACGCAUUCACUUCACCUUGGUCGAGUGCAGCACAGUGGAUAAAUGUGUUGCUGAAGGAAAACCCCAUUGCUAGGAUUCAAACCCACGACACUCUGUUGAAAGGUGAGAGUCAGAACCACUAGACCACGACGCACCCACAGUUAACAAGCUGAUGUCAUACCCCCACUUGUUUUGUAUUUUAUAACAAGAAGUCAUGUUUAUUCACAUUUUGACCUCCAAGAACUAAAAAGUGGAGUGAAGAUUUAUUUAAUGUAAACACAUGCAUUGCUUGAAAUCAUUUUAUGCUACGUGGGACAUAUCAUACACACGUGUACGAAAAUAUGAAAUUAUUAUGAUUUCAUUUUAUAACAUAAGCCUAAAACAUAUUCCUGACGAUCAUGUGCACAUUCCAGUAAUUUUUCCCAAAAUGUUGCUAAACCUUCAAAUCAAAGACUUUGUUAUCAGAUUUUAACGAAAUUGUCAACAUUAUGCUUUUCUGAUUAAUUCUCUUCCUACCUAAAUCUCCCCUUUCCUCAUGCUUUCUUUCUAUGGUCCCCUUCAUUCUCCUUAUAACUAUGUUAUAUGU